Molecule: transfer RNA, 34 nt
Filed under: Myrcianthes fragrans
Lineage: Eukaryota; Viridiplantae; Streptophyta; Magnoliopsida; Myrtales; Myrtaceae
Also listed under: 35 other names
Description: partial tRNA-Leu
Source: RNAcentral
GCCGCUAUGGUGAAAUCGGUAGACACGCUGCUCU